CAAGAGGGAAAUUGUUAUAAACUUGGUUGAAACCAGGUUGUAUGUAGUCAUUAAAUUAACAUUUGGGAGGAAAGAAAGUAAGUGUUGGUGUGGGAGAGGAAUUCCAAGAAUGAGAAGUGAGAGCACUCAAGGGAGGUGUCCUCAAGGCAGGAAAUGAUGGUAGGGAUUUUCCUACCCACCCCAUUACUGAGCAGCCCUAUUCCUGCCUGGGGGCAGCUGCACUGGCCCCAGGAGGACAGCAGGGAGGAGCUGCCAGUCAUCACCUGUCACAGUCACAGGACCAUGUGGGUGUCAGCGGGCAGGCCUCCCGUGCCCAGGCCCUGUCUCACUGGCUGGGCAGAGCCCGAGGACAGGAUAAAAGGGCGCUGGGGCAGGGCCGCUCCAUCCACCGCCCUCCUGAGGUGCUGACUUACCCACUGCGGCCCGUGUGUCUGCUCCAGAACCCUCACCGCCAAGAUGUCCUGCCAGCAGAGCCAACAGCAGUGCCAGGCCCCUCCCAAGUGUCCUGCCCCUAAAUGCCCCCCAAAGUGUCCCCCAAAGUGCCCUCCAGCCUCUUCCUGCUGUAGUGUCAGCUCCGGGGACUGCUGUGGCCCCAGCCUAGGGAGCUGCUGUGGCCCCAGCUCCGGGGCUGGCGGCUGCUUCCUGGGCCACCACAGGCACCACAGAGCCCACUGCCACCGCAGGCACCACAAACCUGCUGACUGCUGCAGCCAGCCCUCGGGGGGCUCCAGCUGCUGCGGAGGGGGUGUGGGUCAGUCCUCCGGAGGCUGCUGCUGAAGCGGAUCUGCGCUAACCUGAGCAGACUUGGGGCAGCAAAUGGACAGACACUUCCUUUUGCUGCUCUCCCUGUUCUUGCCUGUGGUCCUGAGAUGUCCCAGGGAAGGUUCUGAGCUCUGCGCUUAAAGUUUCAUCUUCCCUGGGCUUCAGAAGCUUAGAUCAUCUCCCAAAAUCUAUGUGCUGAUAUCUGACACUCACUGCGUUGUCUGCCCUGGGAUCCCCAGCCCACAGAGCCCAGUAUACUGCCCAGAUAAUCUGUUAGCAGUGGGCGGCCUCCAGUGAAACAAUAAAAGAAGUGUGCCCACA
Molecule: long non-coding RNA, 1083 nt
Organism: Manis pentadactyla (Chinese pangolin)
Lineage: Eukaryota; Metazoa; Chordata; Mammalia; Pholidota; Manidae
Exons: 2
Source: RefSeq, a predicted model, not a curated record